CCCUUAGAUGUCCGGGGCUGCACGCGCGCUACACUGAAGGAAUCAGCGUGCUAAAACCAUUGUCGAAAGGCAUUGGUAAACCCAUUAAAAUCCUACGUGAUUGGGAUCGGGAAUUGCAAUUAUUUCCCUUGAACGAGGAAUUCCCAGUAAGUGUGGGUCAUAAGCUCGCGUUGAUUACGUCCCUGCCCUUUGUACACACCGCCCGUCGCUGCCCGGGACUGAGCCGUUUCGAGAAAAGCGGGGACUGCUGCUGUCAGGGCUUUCGGGCCUUGGCUUCGGUGGAAACCGCUUUAAUCGCAGUGGCUUGAACCGGGCAAAAGUCGUAACA
This 328-nucleotide ribosomal RNA is filed under the name uncultured eukaryote. RNAcentral describes it as "partial 18S ribosomal RNA". It matches the Rfam family "Eukaryotic small subunit ribosomal RNA", at positions 1470 to 1796 of the family's 1831-position model. The record is from RNAcentral.